This 747-nucleotide ribosomal RNA is filed under the name uncultured Azonexus sp. RNAcentral's name for it is "bacterial SSU rRNA". It matches the Rfam family "Bacterial small subunit ribosomal RNA", at positions 28 to 769 of the family's 1533-position model. The record is from RNAcentral. Lineage: Bacteria; Pseudomonadati; Pseudomonadota; Betaproteobacteria; Rhodocyclales; Azonexaceae.
AUUGAACGCUGGCGGCAUGCUUUACACAUGCAAGUCGAACGGCAGCGCGGGGGCAACCCUGGCGGCGAGUGGCGAACGGGUGAGUAAUGCAUCGGAACGUAUCCUGUAAUGGGGGAUAACGUAGCGAAAGUUACGCUAAUACCGCAUACGCUCGAGAGAGGAAAGUGGGGGAUCGCAAGACCUCACGUUAUAGGAGCGGCCGAUGUCCGAUUAGCUAGUUGGUGGGGUAAAGGCCUACCAAGGCGACGAUCGGUAGCUGGUCUGAGAGGAUGAUCAGCCACACUGGGACUGAGACACGGCCCAGACUCCUACGGGAGGCAGCAGUGGGGAAUUUUGGACAAUGGGCGAAAGCCUGAUCCAGCCGCGCCGCGUGCGGGAAGAAGGCCUUCGGGUUGUAAACCGCUUUAGUCCGGGAAAAAGGGGUGCGAGGAUAAUACCCUUGUGCUUUGAUGGUACUGGAAGAAUAAGCACCGGCUAACUACGUGCCAGCAGCCGCGGUAAUACGUAGGGUGCGAGCGUUAAUCGGAAUUACUGGGCGUAAAGCGUGCGCAGGCGGUCUUGUAAGACAGUCGUGAAAGCCCCGGGCUUAACCUGGGAACUGCGAUUGUGACUGCAAGGCUAGAGUGUGUCAGAGGGGGGUGGAAUUCCACGUGUAGCAGUGAAAUGCGUAGAGAUGUGGAGGAACACCGAUGGCGAAGGCAGCCCCCUGGGAUAACACUGACGCUCAUGCACGAAAGCGUGGGGAGC